CAAAUAUUGGCGAGGAAAUUGAUGCUUAGCCAAGUUGUUAAUUUCUAAAAAGGUUGUCCGUUGGUUCUUGGUCCACAAUUUGUGCAUGGUAUUAAAUGCAGGUUUGCCUGCUCUUCGAAUGGCUGCACUAUAUGCGCAUGUUGGUAGUUUGUGUUUACUACCUGAAUUGGGGGCAUCUGUGAUUAAAGAGUUUCUUGAAUCUAGAAGACAAUGGCUCAUACCAAGCAAACCGCUCACAAGUCUACAGGUGGAAAAGCUCCCAGAAAGCAACUGGCUUACAAGGUACGUACUGUUGUAACCUUAUUGUUUUUGAUCAAAUGUGUAUCCCACUUAUAUAGUUAAUGAUAUACCACACCUGACAAUGCAUUGAGCGGGUUUUUCAUCCCGCCGCAACGCGCGGCAAAAUGGAUCAAGAACGAAACUAGAUACAUACUUGGGUGGCCGUAAAAAUUUGAAGACUUGGGUGAUCUCCCUGUACAUCAUCCUUAAUAAUUUAAAAAAUGGUUAAUAUUUAUCGGUAUGCUGUAUGGCCCGUAACAGUACCAUGGUGGGACUAACUUUGGCCAUACUAUCGGAGGUCCGUUUAUUGCGACAAGUUAUGAUUACGAUGCUCCACUUGAUGAGUAUGGAGUGCCUCGACAACCGAAGUGGGGCCACUUAAAAGAUUUACAUAAGGCCAUCAAGCUUUGUGAAGACACGUUGGUAGCAACCGACCCAACAACUACUUCUCUUGGUCAAAAUUUAGAGGUGAAGUACUCCUGUUCUUGAUCCAUUUUUAAACUAAGGAUGUACUUUAACAUUUUUAAACUAAGAAAUGAGCCUAAAAAG
Molecule: long non-coding RNA, 828 nt
Organism: Helianthus annuus (common sunflower)
Lineage: Eukaryota; Viridiplantae; Streptophyta; Magnoliopsida; Asterales; Asteraceae
Exons: 3
Source: RefSeq, a predicted model, not a curated record